GGGGUAACGGCCUACCAAGGCGACGACGGGUAGCCGGCCUGAGAGGGCGACCGGCCACACUGGGACUGAGACACGGCCCAGACUCCUACGGGAGGCAGCAGUGGGGAAUAUUGCGCAAUGGGCGAAAGCCUGACGCAGCGACGCCGCGUGGGGGAUGACGGCCUUCGGGUUGUAAACCUCUUUCAGCAGGGACGAAGCGCAAGUGACGGUACCUGCAGAAGAAGCACCGGCCAACUACGUGCCAGCAGCCGCGGUAAUACGUAGGGUGCAAGCGUUGUCCGGAAUUAUUGGGCGUAAAGAGCUCGUAGGCGGUUUGUUGCGUCGGCUGUGAAAUCCCGAGGCUCAACCUCGGGUCUGCAGUCGAUACGAGCAAACUAGAGUGUUGCAGGGGAGACUGGAAUUCCUGGUGUAGCGGUGAAAUGCGCAGAUAUCAGGAGGAACACCGGUGGCGAAGGCGGGUCUCUGGGCAACAACUGACGCUGAGGAGCGAAAGCGUGGGGAGCGAACAGGAUUAGAUACCCUGGUAGUCCACGCCGUAAACGUUGGGCG
Molecule: ribosomal RNA, 549 nt
Filed under: uncultured Actinomycetes bacterium
Lineage: Bacteria; Bacillati; Actinomycetota; Actinomycetes
Description: bacterial SSU rRNA
Rfam family: Bacterial small subunit ribosomal RNA
Source: RNAcentral